Molecule: ribosomal RNA, 342 nt
Filed under: Triticum aestivum (bread wheat)
Lineage: Eukaryota; Viridiplantae; Streptophyta; Magnoliopsida; Poales; Poaceae
Description: partial small subunit ribosomal RNA
Source: RNAcentral
AUGACAGACACAGCGGGCGCGAGGUUCAAUGAGACGGAGACGACCGGAUCCUGCGAGGAGGCGUCUGAGAGGGCCGGAUUUGGUGUUCGGGAGGCAUCCAGAGAUGCUCCCCGGGCGGCGGCUGCAUCCUGGGUGGCGGAGGGCGUCGGCAGGAGGAGCUUGGGCGCGAGCGGUGCGGCUGUUGUCUCCUCGGACAAGUGGAUGGAUCGGAUCUGGCUGUGGCUGGUUGUGGUUGGGCGGCAGUGGAAAACAAGGAAGGUGGUCAGAGAUGAUUUGGAUCAAGGAGAAGGUGGCGGCUGUGGCUGGUUGGAGGGAGAUGGAUCUGGGAGGAUCCCGAUGUAG